Molecule: long non-coding RNA, 586 nt
Filed under: Strigops habroptila (Kakapo)
Lineage: Eukaryota; Metazoa; Chordata; Aves; Psittaciformes; Psittacidae
Description: lncRNA (ENSSHBG00005014685.1)
Source: RNAcentral
GUCUGGGUCACUGCAGCAUGCGGUGUGUUGUGUCUGAGCACAUCGGGGACUUUUUAAUUAGAAAUAUAGAGAAAAAAGCAAUUCUGGGCUACAAAAACCAAGCCCAAACCCAUCUCUGGUCAUUCUGUUUCAUCCAUAAGGAUCCAGCCAUUGCAGAAGGGAUGCUUGGAUCAUGAUAAAAUAAAGAACUGCAGCUCUCUUCCCAUUUCAAGGGGACUGCUGAACCUCUGAAAGUAUCUGGGUGCGUUCGGCGUCAUGUUCACACUUUGCUGACCUUGCAGAAGCCUCGGAGGAGCUGCAGUUUCGAAGCUAGUUCUGCAAAAUAAGAGGUUCCCCAGUGAAAGAACAUUCAGACUUAUACCAGGCACAACAUUAGCUGCAUGCUCUUAGGAUGGAAGCAUGCAGAGCAAACAAUGAAUCAAGGCUGUUUAUAAAGCCUUCAACACAUUAAGCAGUGGAGAAGAGCCCAAGUUUCCACGUAAAGGCCUGAAUGGACAAGAAUGACGUGAAACACAUGGAAAAUAUGGAAAAUGUGGAAUAAGUAAUAAAAUUAUAAAUAAAACAAAUACAAUAAAUUGGGAAUGCA